AUAUGAUACAUUAAGAACAACCAUUACGAAUGCAGCAUUAAUUGUUAUGAUUAACAAUGCAUAUUCCCAAAAGCAACUUUCUACGAUAAAAGAAUUUGCACUGGAAUUAUAUUUGAGUACUAAAAAUAAGUUAAAGAUACGUUCUGAACAACUGGUCAGUCAGGUGAAAUUUUAUGAAGAUAUAUAUGCAAAGAUUGCAAAGCCUUAAUACAUUUAACUAUAUCACUAAAAGUUUAACUUCAACAAAUACACCAACAAUAUU
Non-coding RNA from Nylanderia fulva, 262 nucleotides. The record is from RefSeq and is a predicted model, not a curated record. Lineage: Eukaryota; Metazoa; Arthropoda; Insecta; Hymenoptera; Formicidae.